This 702-nucleotide ribosomal RNA is filed under the name uncultured Pseudomonadota bacterium. RNAcentral describes it as "bacterial SSU rRNA". It matches the Rfam family "Bacterial small subunit ribosomal RNA", at positions 65 to 762 of the family's 1533-position model. Lineage: Bacteria; Pseudomonadati; Pseudomonadota. The record is from RNAcentral.
AGCGGCAGCGCGGGGGCAACCCUGGCGGCGAGCGGCGAACGGGUGAGUAAUACAUCGGAACGUGCCCAGUAGUGGGGGAUAACCAGUCGAAAGAUUGGCUAAUACCGCGUACGACCUACGGGUGAAAGCGGGGGACCGCAAGGCCUCGCGCUAUUGGAGCGGCCGAUGUCGGAUUAGCUAGUUGGCGGGGUAACGGCCCACCAAGGCGACGAUCCGUAGCUGGUCUGAGAGGACGACCAGCCACACUGGAACUGAGACACGGUCCAGACUCCUACGGGAGGCAGCAGUGGGGAAUUUUGGACAAUGGGCGCAAGCCUGAUCCAGCCAUGCCGCGUGAGUGAAGAAGGCCUUCGGGUUGUAAAGCUCUUUCGGCGGGGACGAAACGGUCCGUGCCAACACCAUGGAUCAAUGACGGUACUCGCAGAAGAAGCACCGGCUAACUACGUGCCAGCAGCCGCGGUAAUACGUAGGGUGCAGGCGUUAAUCGGAAUUACUGGGCGUAAAGCGUGCGCAGGCGGCUCCUUAAGUCAGAUGUGAAAUCCCCGGGCUUAACCUGGGAACUGCGUUUGAUACUGGGGAGCUGGAGUGUGGAAGAGGGGGGUGGAAUUCCAGGUGUAGCAGUGAAAUGCGUAGAGAUCUGGAGGAACACCGAUGGCGAAGGCAGCCCCCUGGGCUAACACUGACGCUCAUGCACGAAAGCGU